UGGGGAAUAUUGCACAAUGGGCGAAAGCCUGAUGCAGCGACGCCGCGUGAGUGAUGAAGGCCUUCGGGUUGUAAAGCUCUGUCUUUUGGGACGAUAAUGACGGUACCAAAGGAGGAAGCCACGGCUAACUACGUGCCAGCAGCCGCGGUAAUACGUAGGUGGCAAGCGUUGUCCGGAUUUACUGGGCGUAAAGGAUGCGUAGGCGGAUUUUUAAGUGAGAUGUGAAAUACCCGGGCUUAACUUGGGUGCUGCAUUUCAAACUGGGAAUCUAGAGUGCGGGAGAGGAGAAUGGAAUUCCUAGUGUAGCGGUGAAAGUGCGUAGAGAUUAGGAAGAACACCAGUGGCGAAGGCGAUUCUCUGGACCGUAACUGACGCUGAGGCAUGAAAGCGUGGGUAGCAAACAGGAUUAGAUACCCUGGUAGUCCACGCCGUAAACGAUGAGUACUAGGUGUAGGAGGUAUCGACCCCUUCUGUGCCGCAGUUAACACAAUAAGUACUCCGCCUGGGAAGUACGAUCGCAAGAUUAAAACUCAAAUGAAUUGACGGGGUC
RNAcentral lists this ribosomal RNA (550 nucleotides) under uncultured bacterium. RNAcentral's name for it is "partial 16S ribosomal RNA". It matches the Rfam family "Bacterial small subunit ribosomal RNA", at positions 355 to 920 of the family's 1533-position model. The record is from RNAcentral.